UACGAAGGGGGCUAGCGUUGCUCGGAAUCACUGGGCGUAAAGGGUGCGUAGGCGGGUCUUUAAGUCAGAGGUGAAAUCCUGGAGCUCAACUCCAGAACUGCCUUUGAUACUGAGGAUCUUGAGUUCGGGAGAGGUGAGUGGAACUGCGAGUGUAGAGGUGAAAUUCGUAGAUAUUCGCAAGAACACCAGUGGCGAAGGCGGCUCACUGGCCCGAUACUGACGCUGAGGCACGAAAGCGUGGGGAGCAAUCAGG
This 253-nucleotide ribosomal RNA is filed under the name uncultured bacterium. Its description in RNAcentral is "partial 16S ribosomal RNA". It matches the Rfam family "Bacterial small subunit ribosomal RNA", at positions 524 to 776 of the family's 1533-position model. The record is from RNAcentral.